UGGGGAAUUUUGGACAAUGGGCGAAAGCCUGAUCCAGCAACUCUGCGUGUGUGAAGAAGGUCUUCGGAUUGUAAAGCACUUUAAGUUGGGAGGAAGGGCAGUUACCUAAUACGUGAUUGUUUUGACGUUACCGACAGAAUAAGCACCGGCUAACUCUGUGCCAGCAGCCGCGGUAAUACAGAGGGUGCAAGCGUUAAUCGGAAUUACUGGGCGUAAAGCGCGCGUAGGUGGUUAGUUAAGUUGGAUGUGAAAUCCCCGGGCUCAACCUGGGAACUGCAUUCAAAACUGACUGACUAGAGUAUGGUAGAGGGUGGUGGAAUUUCCUGUGUAGCGGUGAGAUGCGUAGAUAUAGGAAGGAACACCAGUGGCGAAGGCGACCACCUGGACUGAUACUGACACUGAGGUGCGAAAGCGUGGGGAGCAAACAGGAUUAGAUACCCCAGUAGUCCCUGAGCGGGCUGGCAAGGCGCAU
This 472-nucleotide ribosomal RNA is filed under the name uncultured bacterium. RNAcentral describes it as "bacterial SSU rRNA". It matches the Rfam family "Bacterial small subunit ribosomal RNA", at positions 355 to 825 of the family's 1533-position model. The record is from RNAcentral.